RNAcentral lists this long non-coding RNA (2433 nucleotides) under Heterocephalus glaber (naked mole-rat). RNAcentral describes it as "lncRNA (ENSHGLG00100036328.1)". The record is from RNAcentral. Lineage: Eukaryota; Metazoa; Chordata; Mammalia; Rodentia; Bathyergidae.
CUUUUCAUUCCAAUCUUCAUACACACACUUUUAUAAGGUGUGAAGUUUAUUUUGGGCAGGAUACAGAAUCUACGCAAUAAUGUCUUCCUUUUAAAAUUGGAAGAGAAAGCAGGUAUGGUGGUGAAAUCUACAAUCCCAGGACUCGGGGAGUCUGCAACAAGAAGACUCCAAUUUUGAGCCCAGCCUUGGCAACUGAGCAACUUAAAGAGACCUUGUUUAAAUUUGUGGCACAAAUGAUACCGAUCAGAAUGAUGCUCUCAUUCAAGCAGUACCUCAAGAGCGUGGACUUUCAUAAUUGUGGAGAUGGAGACUCUACAGUUACAACUGACAGAGCCUGAGUACUGAUAGUGAAAGAAUUGCCAAGGCCAGCAGUUCAAGAUCCUGCACUUUCAGGGAUCGAACUCAGGUCCUUGAGCUUGCGAGGCAGGUGCUGGAACCACUGAGCUAAAUCCCCGGCCCCUAACUGAUAUUCUAUAGGAGGAAAUGGAAGUCAGGCAAAGUAUACAUUUUUUGACUCUUUCAGACAAGCCAGAGUUCUGAUUUCACAAAAGAUAAAUGGAGAGUGUCUGAAGGCAAAAGCAAGUGGAACAUCUAAUUAGAUACAAAAAUAGUGAAAGCAAUGCCAUUUAAAGACCAUGAUUGAAGAUAUGGAUCCUACACUGUAGAUGACAAAGCAAAAAGAAAGGAAGACCUCUCUCCUGAAUUAUAUCAUUGAGCCUCUGAUCUAAUAUUGCAGCUGUUUUACUGCAGACCUCUUGCUACAUAGAAUAAUACCACUUCUUAAGCCACUGUAAGCCAGGUUUUUCUUUCACUUAUUACUUAAGGCAUUUUAGUUGACAUAGCAAGUUAAUACAAUACAAAGCAAUCUUAAUUCAGUGUAGUGUAUCCGAGAAAUAAUGAUUUCUAAAUAUAACAUUCAACCAAAAUUAAAUUAUUUCAAAUGCCUUAGGAAUACCUUGUGUAGACUAAAAUCUCUACUUUUGUUUAGAAAAGAUGUAAAUUCUAGUUCAGCUCAGUUUAAUUUUAAACUUUAGUUGCCUGUGUAUCUUAGAACAUCAUUACCCAUUCUAUCCAUAUCUCCCUCACUCACCCUCUAGCCACAGUCCAGAAUUUGAGAAGAAUUCAAAUUGGUGUGGACUUUCUUGUACUCCUUUUCUCCUUCAGCUAUAUCUGGAGUUGGGGCUGGAAGAUCAAGGAAAACAAGGGGAAAUGGUUGCUGAGAUCUGUUGAGAGAGAUUCAUCCUCUGUGUAGACCUGGUAACAGUUCUGAUAUCAGAGAGAGGAACUCUUUCUCAGACCCAUUAAGGAGGCCCAGCUCCUAAGUUUCUGAGUGGCUUUUGAGGGUGUUUUCCAUGGUCAGCCUGCUCCGAGUCAUUUGUGAAAGAGGAAAUCUGACCACCAGAAGCAGAGCAACCCAGAAGAGCCUGGAGAAGGGGGACUAAGGUGGAGACACUGCUCAAAGGCCCACUCCCUGGAACCUGCUUUCUCCUCCUGGGACCCCUCCUGACAGCGCUAUGGAGUCACCCAUGGCUUUAUUGAAAGAUUGAAAGAAUUUCUAAAGAACAAAAUUAAAAAGGAUGAAAAAUCUGGGUGACUGCUCCUACCCUUUCCUCCGAGUGCCUUGCACGGCCAUUGAGCUGACAUCCAGCUGCCAGCACCUGUGUUUCUUCGCAGAGAGGUCUCAGUCCCAUGGGUUUCACCCUGUCUCACUAACCAGGCUGGAGGUGCUGCGAUGAACACCUCCAGUGCUGGUCCCCCACCAGCACCCUACGGGAGGUGGCACAGGAGCACCCACCUCUCACUGUGCAGGUGGAAGAGCACAGAGGCACAUUUCCCUCCAAAAUAUCUGUGCUACUUUACUCAUUGUUAUAUACAUGUAAUUUAUUGUAAGGCAAACACUAUUAAUACAAAAAUGUAUGAAUGAAAUAGAAUUGAAUAAUUUAAAAGAUAUGUUAAUGCAGAGAGUAAAGAGCAGCACCAAAAUAAUUUUGUUUGAGUAGUGUUUCAAAUUACCAGGUAAUGCUAAAGGUGUUUCUUGGUCUUGGGAAAGAACUUCAACCCACUUUUAAUGCUUCAUAUGUACUAUCUAAAGUUUAAGUUGAAAAUUGUUAAGUAAAAUUUGUAUGAUUAAAACAUUAAUGGAUCAUAUAUAUAUUUUGUGUAUCAUGUGUAUAUGUAUUUUAUAAUUAUAUAGAUAUAUGUUAAAUCCUUUGUUAAUGUGUUGAAUCAGAAAAGAAUGUCCAGUACUGUACUACGGUUGGAAUUAAAAUAAGCUAAAGUUAUCUAUUACCUAGGCUUUUUUCUUACUGAAGGAUAACCAAGAGUAACAAAUGAUGAGUACAGUUCUCGAGCUUCUCUCACUGAUACAAAGUGCACACAUCUUAUUAUUUAAUUAAGGUGAGUACUUUUUCAUAAAUACAUUCUUCAUUAAAG